RNAcentral lists this ribosomal RNA (492 nucleotides) under uncultured bacterium. RNAcentral's name for it is "partial 16S ribosomal RNA". It matches the Rfam family "Bacterial small subunit ribosomal RNA", at positions 29 to 507 of the family's 1533-position model. The record is from RNAcentral.
AGUGAACGCUGGCGGUAGGCCUAACACAUGCAAGUUGAACGGCAGCACAGUAAUAGCUUGCUCUUACGGGUGGCGAGUGGUCGCCGGGUGAGGAAUACAUCGGAAUCUACUUUUUCGCGGGGGAUAAGGUAGGGAAACUUACGCUAACACCUCAUACGACCUACGGGUGAAAGCAGGGUGGCUUCGGACCUUGCGCGAUUGAAUGCGCCGAUGUCGGAUUAGCUAGUUGGCGGGGUAAAGGCCCACCAAGGCGACGAUCCGUAGCUGGUCUGAGAGGAUGAUCAGCCACACUGGAACUGAGACACGGUCCAGACUCCUACGGGAGGCAGCAGUGGGGAAUAUUGGACAAUGGGCGCAAGCCUGAUCCAGCCAUACCGCGUGGGUGAAGAAGGCCUUCGGGUUGUAAAGCCCUUUUGUUGGGAAAGAAAAGCAGCAGGUUAAUACCCCGCUGUUCUGACGGUACCCAAAGAAUAAGCACCGGCUAACUUCGUG